This 546-nucleotide ribosomal RNA is filed under the name uncultured bacterium. RNAcentral describes it as "bacterial SSU rRNA". It matches the Rfam family "Bacterial small subunit ribosomal RNA", at positions 774 to 1319 of the family's 1533-position model. The record is from RNAcentral.
AGAGAAUAGAUACCCUGGUAGUCCACGCCGUAAACGAUGGGUACUAGGUGUUGCAGGAAUUGACCCCUGCAGUGCCGUAGCUAACGCAUUAAGUACCCCGCCUGGGAAGUACGGCCGCAAGGUUAAAACUCAAAGGAAUUGACGGGGGCCCGCACAAGCGGUGGAGCAUGUGGUUUAAUUCGAUGCAACGCGAAAAACCUUACCUGGGUUUGACAUCCACUGACAGCCGUAGAGAUACGGUUUCCCCUUCGGGGGCAGUGAGACAGGUGCUGCAUGGCUGUCGUCAGCUCGUAUCGUGAGAUGUCGGGUUAAGUCCCUUAACGAGCGCAACCCUUAUCCCUAGUUGCCAUCAUUCAGUUGGGCACUCUAUGGAGACUGCCGGUGUUAAACCGGAGGAAGGCGGGGAUGACGUCAAGUCCUCAUGGCCUUUAUAUCCAGGGCUACACACGUGCUACAAUGGCCGGUACAAAGGGUUGCCAACCCGCGAGGGGGAGCUAAUCUCAUAAAGCCGGUCUCAGUUCGGAUUGAAGUCUGCAAUUCGACUUC